Molecule: ribosomal RNA, 315 nt
Filed under: uncultured Tremella
Lineage: Eukaryota; Fungi; Basidiomycota; Tremellomycetes; Tremellales; Tremellaceae
Description: partial large subunit ribosomal RNA
Rfam family: Eukaryotic large subunit ribosomal RNA
Source: RNAcentral
AUAUCAAUAAGCGGAGGAAAAGAAACUAACAAGGAUUCCCCUAGUAACGGCGAGUGAAGCGGGAUGAGCUCAAAUUUGUAAUCUGGCGUGCUUGCGCGUCCGAGUUGUGAUCUAUAGAGGCGUUUUCCGUGCUGGUCCGUGUCCAAGUCCCUUGGAACAGGGUAUCAAAGAGGGUGACAAUCCCGUGCUUGACACGACCGCCAGUGCUCUGUGAUACGUCUUCUACGAGUCGAGUUGUUUGGGAAUGCAGCUCAAAAUGGGUGGUAAAUUCCAUCUAAAGCUAAAUAUUGGCGAGAGACCGAUAGCGCACAAGUA